AUGCCGUCGAUCAUGCCUCGUUGUGAGCUGCGGGAACGCUUCCAGUUCAAGGCGUUUGUGUUCCAUGAUACAUCCACAGGAAGCUACAUCGUGGUGCUCAUCCACAGGCCGUACACUCACCUCUCCUUUGCGAGAGUUGGGGAUGACAAGUGGACGUUGCUGGAACCACACUAUGACUACCAGGACUGCACCUACAAGGAUGGGUUGCUGUAUGCAACGAGUACGAUGGGAGAAAUUCAUGCCUUCGAUCUUAGUUGUCCUGAUGUUACAAUGAAGAUUAUCAAGGGGAGGGAUGCGGGCUUUGAUCUCGAUGUUGUACACAUGUUCAGGCUCCAUGGGGUGGUCUGCUGGUUGUUUCAAGAUUAA
RNAcentral lists this ribosomal RNA (366 nucleotides) under Triticum aestivum (bread wheat). Its description in RNAcentral is "partial small subunit ribosomal RNA". Lineage: Eukaryota; Viridiplantae; Streptophyta; Magnoliopsida; Poales; Poaceae. The record is from RNAcentral.